GAAGCUAAUAAAUCGAAUUGGUAAUGAGGUCUUUAAUCGCACCGCUCCUAAUUGAAUAAAUACAAUGCUUCAGUAAAAAUCCUACGAUAACUUAAACUAAAAUCCUAUAAACGAAUCUAUAUAAAUCGUUAAAAAUAUAUAUAGCCUAAUUGAUUAAACUAAAGUUAGAAAAAUUAAAAGUUUCAAACUUUUAAAAUUGAUUAAACUAAUUCUUUACAACACCACCCGAAACCUCGUUACCAUAAAUGAAAACUAAAUUAAAAAAACAAAAUUACAUCAUUCCUAUAUCUACUGCAAGAUGAAUUUAAGGUAUGAAAAAUAAAACCAAC
This 329-nucleotide long non-coding RNA is filed under the name Salvia miltiorrhiza (redroot sage). Its description in RNAcentral is "long non-coding RNA (SMIL_LNC001168)". The record is from RNAcentral. Lineage: Eukaryota; Viridiplantae; Streptophyta; Magnoliopsida; Lamiales; Lamiaceae.